Molecule: ribosomal RNA, 479 nt
Filed under: uncultured bacterium
Lineage: Bacteria
Description: bacterial SSU rRNA
Rfam family: Bacterial small subunit ribosomal RNA
Source: RNAcentral
AAAAGAGACGUGUGUCGAACAGGCACAUGGAUUGAUGGUACACAUAGAGUAAGCACCGGCUAACUUCGUGCCAGCAGCCGCGGUAAUACGAAGGGUGCGAGCGUUGUUCGGAUUUAUUGGGCGUAAAGCGUACGUAGGCGGAAGGUUAAGUCAGGUGUGAAAUCUCGGGGCUCAACCCCGAAAUUGCGCCUGAGACUGGCCAUCUAGAAUACUGAAGAGGGAGGGGGAAUUUCGCAUGUAGGGGUAAAAUCCGUAGAUAUGCGAAGGAACACCAGAGGCGAAGGCGCCUUCCUGGUCGGUUAUUGACGCUAAGGUACGAAAGCGUGGGGAGCAAACAGGAUUAGAUACCCUGGUAGUCCACGCCGUAAACGAUGAGCACUAGAUAUGGGAGGGUCGACCCUUUCCGUGUCGCAGCUAACGCAUUAAGUGUUCCGCCUGGGGAGUACGGUCGCAAGAUUAAAACUCAAAGGAAUUGACGG